This 253-nucleotide ribosomal RNA is filed under the name uncultured bacterium. RNAcentral describes it as "partial 16S ribosomal RNA". It matches the Rfam family "Bacterial small subunit ribosomal RNA", at positions 524 to 776 of the family's 1533-position model. The record is from RNAcentral.
UACGUAGGGGGCAAGCGUUGUCCGGAUUUAUUGGGCGUAAAGAGCUCGUAGGCGGUCUGUCGCGUCGGCUGUGAAAACCCGGAGCUCAACUCCGGGCCUGCAGUCGAUACGGGCAGACUAGAGUGCGGUAGGGGAGACUGGAAUUCCUGGUGUAGCGGUGAAAUGCGCAGAUAUCAGGAGGAACACCGGUGGCGAAGGCGGGUCUCUGGGCCGUAACUGACGCUGAGGAGCGAAAGCGUGGGGAGCGAACAGG